RNAcentral lists this unclassified non-coding RNA (482 nucleotides) under Melitaea cinxia (Glanville fritillary). RNAcentral describes it as "misc RNA ENSMCXG00005007898.1". The record is from RNAcentral. Lineage: Eukaryota; Metazoa; Arthropoda; Insecta; Lepidoptera; Nymphalidae.
CUGUCAUUGUAGUUGUGUUACACAAGCGUCUUAAAUGAUUGUUUUAGUCUGUAUGACUUUCUUCACAUCCUUCUUCGAUCGAAAAGCAACAUUUUAGUUAACGUCUCCACUAAAAUUAGUUUGUCAUUAAAAGAACCAAUAAUUAUAUGUUUACUAGCGGAAAAGUUAGAAAUUGCGGUGAAAUUGGACACUCGCAUAUCAGUACUCUACUCCGUGGUAGCAGAUUACUCGGAACAGUUGAGCGGGUUUGAUUCAGGAUUGAGUACUCAGAUGCAAAGUUUCCAAGACCAAAUGAACCAGAUACGAGCGGAUCUCAAGAGUGGUCUGACGCAAUUAGAAAAUGUUAAUAAUAAUGCUGAAACUGCGGGUAAGUGGAUCUAAAAGACAUUAGUUCUUUUUAUCAUACAUACAAAAUCCUGUUACGGGUCCGAGGUCUCCCGACAAUAAACAUCAUAACAAACCUCAGUCACGAGACUCGUUUG